RNAcentral lists this ribosomal RNA (1116 nucleotides) under Triticum aestivum (bread wheat). RNAcentral describes it as "partial small subunit ribosomal RNA". Lineage: Eukaryota; Viridiplantae; Streptophyta; Magnoliopsida; Poales; Poaceae. The record is from RNAcentral.
AUGGACACGGCGCGGCGCUCGCCGGUCUGCCUCGACCUCAUGGUCGGGCUUCCCAUGGUCCGCGAGCCGUCUCCGGCGAGGUGCGCCGGAAUGAGAGCCGACGCUGGCAUUGUUGGCUCGGCCUGUGGCAGAGCAGCUUCCACCACCAUGACCAACGGCGAGGCUAAAAUCCUGGAGGCCAAGUUCACGGAGGUGAGCGAGGAGAACCGGAGGUUGACAGAGAUGAUCGGUUACCUGUACGCUAAUAACCAGAACUUCGCGCGACAGGGCCCCGAAGGCGAGGGCGAGCAGCCCGCGAGUACAGCCGCGUCGCCGACAUCGCCGGUGGGCAAGAAAAGGGGCAGGGAGAGCAUGGAGACGUCGGAUUCCGGCGAUGCCAACAGCGACAAGAAGAUAAACAUGGUCGAGGCCGAGCAUGUCGACGUCAAGAGCCCGCUGAGCAACGGCACUUGCCGGAGAAUCAAGGUCAAGAGGGUCUGCACCAGGAUCGACCCAUCGGACACGAGCCUCGUUGUGAAAGACGGGUAUCAAUGGCGGAAGUACGGACAGAAGGUGACACGGGAUAAUCCCUCCCCCCGAGCCUACUUCCGAUGCGCCUUCGCGCCGUCCUGCCCUGUCAAGAAGAAGGUAUCCUACAAACUCCGCCCAAUUCGACGAGCAUUGAGCUGCAGCACCAUCUGGUGCUUGUACGGUCUGAAAAGCUUGUGCUCUGUCACUGAUUUCUUGGUACGAUCCAUGGUGGUGCAGGUGCAGAGAAGCGCGGAGGACAGCUCGGUGGUGGAGGCGACGUACGAGGGCGAGCACAACCACCCGCGCCCCACGGGGGCCAGCGAGCUGCCGAGCUGCGCGGCGCAGGGCGGCGGCUCGGUGCCGUGCUCCAUCUCCAUCAACUCCUCCGGCCCGACCAUCACGCUGGACCUCACCAAGAACGGGGGAGGCGUGCAGGUCGUCGAGGCAGGGGAGGCGCAACCGGACCUGAAGAAGGUGUGCCGGGAGGUCGCGUCGCCGGAGUUCCGGGCGGCUCUGGUGGAGCAGAUGGCCCGCGCGCUCACCGGCGACCGAAAGUUCACGGACGCGCUCGCCGCCGCGAUCCUGCGGAAGCUGCCCGAUUAUUAG